Molecule: ribosomal RNA, 492 nt
Filed under: uncultured bacterium
Lineage: Bacteria
Description: partial 16S ribosomal RNA
Rfam family: Bacterial small subunit ribosomal RNA
Source: RNAcentral
AGUGAACGCUGGCGGUAGGCCUAACACAUGCAAGUCGAACGGCAGCACAGUAAGAGCUUGCUCUUACGGGUGGCGAGUGGCGGACGGGUGAGGAAUACAUCGGAAUCUACUUUUUCGUGGGGGAUAACGUAGGGAAACUUACGCUAAUAUCGCAUACGACCUACGGGUGAAAGCAGGGGAUCUUCGGACCUUGCGCGAUUGAAUGAGCCGAUGUCGGAUUGGCUAGUUGGCGGGGUAAAGGCCCACCAAGGCGACGAUCCGUAGCUGGUCUGAGAGGAGGGUAGGCCACACGAGAACUGAAACACGGACCAGACUCCUACGAGAGGGAGCAGUGGGGAAUAUUGGACAGUGGGCGCAAGCCUGAUCCAGCCAUACCGCGUGGGUGAAGAAGGCCUUCGGGUUGUAAAGCCCUUUUGUGGGGAAAGAAAAGCAUCAGGUUAAUACCCCGCUGUUCUGACGGUACCCAAAGAAUAAGCACCGGCUAACUUCGUG